UGGGGAAUAUUGCACAAUGGGCGCAAGCCUGAUGCAGCCAUGCCGCGUGUGUGAAGAAGGCCUUCGGGUUGUAAAGCACUUUCAGCGAGGAGGAAGGUGGUGAGCUUAAUACGCUCAUCAAUUGACGUUACUCGCAGAAGAAGCACCGGCUAACUCCGUGCCAGCAGCCGCGGUAAUACGGAGGGUGCAAGCGUUAAUCGGAAUUACUGGGCGUAAAGCGCACGCAGGCGGUUUGUUAAGUCAGAUGUGAAAUCCCCCGGGCUCAACCUGGGAACUGCAUUUGAAACUGGCAAGCUAGAGUCUCGUAGAGGGGGGUAGAAUUCCAGGUGUAGCGGUGAAAUGCGUAGAGAUCUGGAGGAAUACCGGUGGCGAAGGCGGCCCCCCUGGACGAAGACUGACGCUCAGGUGCGAAAAGCGUGGGGCAGCAAACAGGAUUAGAUACCCUGGUAGUCCACGCUGUAAACGAUGUCGAUUUUGGAGGUUGUGCCCCUUGAGGCGUGGCUUCCGGAGCUAACGCGUUAAAUCGACCGCCUGGGGAGUACGGCCGCAAGGUUAAAACUAAAUGAAUUG
This 570-nucleotide ribosomal RNA is filed under the name uncultured bacterium. RNAcentral describes it as "partial 16S ribosomal RNA". It matches the Rfam family "Bacterial small subunit ribosomal RNA", at positions 355 to 912 of the family's 1533-position model. The record is from RNAcentral.